RNAcentral lists this ribosomal RNA (646 nucleotides) under uncultured bacterium. RNAcentral describes it as "bacterial SSU rRNA". It matches the Rfam family "Bacterial small subunit ribosomal RNA", at positions 143 to 807 of the family's 1533-position model. The record is from RNAcentral.
AUAACAGUUAGAAAUGACUGCUAAUGCCGCAUAAGCGCACAGGGCCGCAUGGCCCGGUGUGAAAAACUCCGGUGGUAUGAGAUGGACUCGCGUCUGAUUAGCUAGUUGGUGAGGUAACGGCCCACCAAGGCGACGAUCAGUAGCCGGCCUGAGAGGGUGAACGGCCACAUUGGGACUGAGACACGGCCCAAACUCCUACGGGAGGCAGCAGUGGGGAAUAUUGCACAAUGGGGGAAACCCUGAUGCAGCGACGCCGCGUGAGUGAAGAAGUAUUUCGGUAUGUAAAGCUCUAUCAGCAGGGAAGAAAAUGACGGUACCUGACUAAGAAGCCCCGGCUAACUACGUGCCAGCAGCCGCGGUAAUACGUAGGGGGCAAGCGUUAUCCGGAUUUACUGGGUGUAAAGGGAGCGUAGACGGCUUUGCAAGUCUGACGUGAAACUCCGGGGCUCAACUCCGGAACUGCGUUGGAAACUGUAAGGCUUGAGUGCCGGAGAGGUAAGCGGAAUUCCUAGUGUAGCGGUGAAGUGCGUAGAUAUUAGGAGGAACACCAGUGGCGAAGGCGGCUUACUGGACGGCAACUGACGUUGAGGCUCGAAAGCGUGGGGAGCAAACAGGAUUAGAUACCCUGGUAGUCCACGCGGUAAAC